Molecule: long non-coding RNA, 1545 nt
Organism: Oncorhynchus tshawytscha (Chinook salmon)
Lineage: Eukaryota; Metazoa; Chordata; Actinopteri; Salmoniformes; Salmonidae
Source: Ensembl
CUCAGCGUGUGCUAUUAUACUUGUUAUGUCUAAGAAUAUUGCAGAGAGCAAGUGUAGUGUUGGAGGAUAACAGCAAUCCCACCAAGUUCGAUCUAUGAGAGGUUUGUGUGGUCCUGAUUUCGGAGCACCUUUUGCGUUGACCGCUCCUUUGAAAACCCAAAAUGUGAGUGAGUUUGUAGGACCGCUGAAAGACGAGGGUUCCAACAGUUGACACUUCGAUGUCUAGGAAGCAGCUGGUUGCUGAACAGAGAAAAUAUGCUUCCCUCAUAUUUUUGCAUCCAGAGGAGGAGUUUGAUGAGGUUUGUGUGGGUUACGUUGACAGAGAUAGUGUUCUGCUGAGGAAGUGGCGUUCCCCUCUUCUGGGCAAGACGAUUGGCCCAGUGGAUCUCAAAUUCUAGUUACGCUUCGACAAGAGAUGGCGUCUUGGGGUUAACAAGACGAAUGACCGUAUCUUGGUUAAUUUCUGGUCUGGAACAUGAUAUUGUGGUUUACUGUGAAUCCUGUCACGUUUGCCAGGUGAUGGGUAAACCGAACAGUGCCAGUUCACCUUUGCACCUCUGGUUUUGACUAACCUUUCAGCAGGUUUAUUGGUUCUUUGCCCAAAACAACGAGUGGUAACCAUGUGUGCUGCGACUUGUUUCCCUGAGGUUAUUCCACUGAAGAAAAUCCCAAGGAAAGUUACUACGGAUAUUGCCGGAGUUUCCCCUUGAAAUCAGACAUGUCCAUGGUGUCACGGGACUCGUCUGAAGGCAACCCAUACAAACAAAGAAGUAUGGAGGUAGUUGUGCCAACAAAAAUAAGGGGUUAAAUGUGUCCAAAAUAAAUAAAUGAUCCAUGUUAUCACCAUCUUAAAACAAUUAAACAUGUUAGCUUAGACCCCACCCCCAUCUAUUUUGGACAUAGUGUGUUCGGAAAGUAUUCAGACCCCUUGACUUUUUCCACAUUUUGUUACAUUACAGCCUUAUUCUAAAAUGGUUCAUUUUUUCCCCCCUCAUCAAUCUACACACAAUACCUGAUAAUGACAAUGCAAAAACUGUUUUUAUAAUUUUCUUUCAAAUGUAUCAACAAAAAUAAAGAUAUUUACAUAAAUAUUCAGACCUUUAACUCGGUACUUUGUUGGAGCACCUUUGGCAGCGAUUACAGCCUCGACUCUUCUUGGGGAUGACGCUACAAGCUUCACAUAGCUGGAGGGCAAACUACCUGCCCUCCAGGACACCUACACCACCCGAUGUCACAGGAAGGCCAUAAAGAUCAUCAAGGACAACAACCACCCGAGCCACUGCCUGUUCACCCCGCUAUCAUCCAGAAGGCGAGGUCAGUACAGGUGCAUCAAAGCUGGGACCGAGAGACUGAAAAACAGCUUCUAUCUCAAGGCCAUCAGACUGUUAAACAGCCACCACUAACAUUGAGUGGCUACUGCCAACACACUGACUCUACUCCAGCCACUUUAAUCAUGGGAAUUGAUGUAAAAUAUAUCACUAGCCACUUUAAACAAUGCCAGAAUCUCUAGUGGCACAGCUAGCACUGCGAUGCAGUGCCUUAGAC